GUGCUAUACAUGCAGUCGAGCGAAUGGAUUGGAGCUUGCUCUUAUGUGUUUACGCGCGCGGACGGUGUGAUGUCACACUGUGGUGUCACCGUGCUCGCUAUAGAGCAUCGUGGGUAUACAUCUCCGGGACACCGGGCGCUAAUACCGAGUAGUCAAUCAUUUUGAACCGCAGUGGUCUCAAAAUUGAAAGGCGCGUCUCUCGCGUCUGUCUCUUAUGGAUGGACCCGCGUCGCAUUAUCUAGUUUGGUGAUGUAGCGCGCUCACCAGGGCAACGAUGCGUACCCGACCUGAGAGGGUGAUCGGCCACACUGGGACUGACACACGGCCCACACUCCUACGGGAGGCAGCAGUAGGGUAUCUUCCGCAGUGGACGAAUGUCUGACAGAGCCACGCCGCGUGAGUGAUGAAUGC
RNAcentral lists this ribosomal RNA (411 nucleotides) under Bacillus cereus. Its description in RNAcentral is "bacterial SSU rRNA". It matches the Rfam family "Bacterial small subunit ribosomal RNA", at positions 46 to 415 of the family's 1533-position model. Lineage: Bacteria; Bacillati; Bacillota; Bacilli; Caryophanales; Bacillaceae. The record is from RNAcentral.